GAUCCCUGCAUACCUGAGGCCUUUCAAAGCUUAAAAGGACUGUGCAACUCUGAGGAAAAAGUGCAGAAAAAAGCAAGCUCUAGUAAACUAGUGAGAUGGCAACUCAUCAGCUGUCAUCAGUUGACAUCCAGAAGAUGCCUUAAUAACUUGAAGAAAAUGAAUGCUGUUUUGAAACUUAAUCUCUUUCCUGUGAGAAGACAUUGCAGGGAAGAAAAAAACAACCUUGGGCAUUAUUUGUCAGGGAUAAUGCUACAAAUAUCCAUAUAGAGAGAGCCUGGCUACGUCCUUGUACAACCAUCAGUCCAUGUCUGCUGGAAGUAGGCAGGAUUUCUGAUGUUUGAAAUCCUUUCAGGUACUUGAAAAAGUCUGCCCUUGUUUCUGAGUGAACAUGUUGCCAUGAUUAAAUAAGUUCAUCCUGAAACAGGAUUUAGGUCGUUAGCUCUGUAUCUGCCCUUUGCCGGUGCAUGACCUUGACUAUAAGAGUUUUGUUUUGAGGUUUAACAGGAAAGCUGUGCUGACUGAUGUAGAAGCUGAGGUGUGUUUUAAAGACUGAGGUCUUCUGAUGUGAAAAUGGAAACGCUCGCCUUCAGAAAGAGGUCUUUGGUUCAGUCUGUACUGUGGUCCCUUUAGUUUUAUGAGCUUGACUGUGGAAGCUGUGCUUCGUGUCUCCUUCCCUUCCUCUCUUUACCCCCGUGCGUGCUGUGCUUGUACCUUUCUCUGCAGUAACUUGGCUCUGUGAGCUGUAACAAAGGAAAAGAGCAUGUAUUACUUGAGCAGCUAACAUCUUCUAACACAGGAUGACAGAAGCCUGAUUAAGCUGAGAAAGGAUGUCGUAUUAAGAAUAAAUAAAGAAUGAUUUGAAGAUAGAUUCCUUAAACCUGCCAUUGUAAUAUGAGGAAGAGACGGAUGAAUUGCCACCUCAUAAACUCAUAGCUCAUCUGCACCUCAGCUGACACUGAUUUCUGGGCAGCUGCUAGACAGAUGCCGUUCUCGCCUGUGUUCCUCCUCCUCUAGAGGAGGAUGAAACCGCCGCCAGGGAAAGAGAACUUUGCUGCGUGUGUUACGCUCAGCGGGGCUGUGAAAAGAUUCGGUCAUGAGCAGCGCAGACAGCGUACCACGAGGCAGGCUGUUGGAGUGAGCCGCUGGCCUCGGAGGUACAAGUGCCUUGAACUCAGGCUCAGCAGGUGGCACUAUUGAGCUUGUCAUUUUAGCGCGGCUGCUUCCUCACUACGUUACCCCUCCUGCAGUUUGCUUUUUUAUUAAUUAAAUUAAUUAUUUUAAUAUCACGGUGAUGUAUUCUGCAUGAGUCUCAAAAUGCAAGUCAUGGCAGGGUAUUCUUGUACCACUUUGAGUCGACAGCAGCAGAAAUGAGUGCGAGAAUGAGGUUUCUUACAUUGAUCGUUCUGGAAGUACAUCUCUUUCAGCUGCAAAAAUAAAGAAGUUCUGAUAUUGUGUGAAUUCUAUUUGUAUGAAGUCUGUGUUUCUAAUAACUAAUCUGAUUCCUUCCUUAUUUGAAAGAAGUUUUAUGCACUUAGAUGGAAUUCAUAAUGGCACAGCAAAAGAGGCUUAAGUCCUCAAAAUUAUUUGUGCUCCAAACAUAAGAGAGGUCCUACAAGGGGAACCUGCAUUGUCUUUAUGAAGGUUUGCCCCAGCCUUGUAAGUAGUUGCGUCUGAGGCCGCCAGUUAUCAACGCUUUCAGUGACACUUUGCAAAAGUACUAAUGAAUGCAGUGCUUUUUUGAUAUGGACUAUUGUGAUUACUCUAGCGAAUGCUUUUUUGUUUCCUUGUACCUAUCAAAAUGGUUUCCAGUGGUUGAAUGCUCAUAUUUUGCCCCGCUGACUCACAAGCAAGAGAUGUUAGAUGUCUUUGAUGUAAAAAUGAACAUAACAAAGCUCUAAUCUUCUACUAAUAUUGAUUUGUUACAGCAGAGUUUGAGUUUAAAGGAGCUAACUUCCUGAUUCAUUCUUGACUGUCUGUCUGAAUCAGCUUCCUCUAUUUUAAAAGAAGUAUAAGCUAUUUGAGAUUUGUGUAUGUCUUUUUUACUUGAAAAGAGCAGGGUCAAGGGCAGAUGAUGACUAGGAUUAUUACCUCUGCUAACAAUUCCUCAGUGUAAUUUGUAGGAGAUAUUCUAUGUUACAGAAAGUAGAAAGCUCAUCUCUUGAAAAUGCUUACAACUGGAAUGUUAGUAUUCUUAGCAGGUAGAUAAUGACAUCCUUCAUACAUCCUCAUUUAUGUGCAUAACACUUUGCAAGUAGGCUUCACAAUGCAAUUAAAUAUGCCUGGGUUCAGCGUUUCCAUCCAGGGGUUACCUCCGUUGUUUUUUUUGUAGAUCACAUUCUCUCAGGAGUAAACUGUGCCCAUGACAAAAUACUACGCAGAUGUGUCUGAGUUAUUCCUGUGCAUGUACUUUGAUGUCUUACUCAUUAUUUUUAACAUCUUUUUUUCUGCAAAUGUCAGCUGUAUUCGUAUGCCCAAUAAACUGAAGUUAG
Long non-coding RNA from Numida meleagris (helmeted guineafowl), 2489 nucleotides. RefSeq lists it as uncharacterized. Lineage: Eukaryota; Metazoa; Chordata; Aves; Galliformes; Numididae. The transcript has 3 exons. The record is from RefSeq and is a predicted model, not a curated record.